RNAcentral lists this transfer RNA (68 nucleotides) under Marmota monax (woodchuck). Its description in RNAcentral is "tRNA.Ala". Lineage: Eukaryota; Metazoa; Chordata; Mammalia; Rodentia; Sciuridae. The record is from RNAcentral.
GGAUUGUGGCUCAGUGGUAAAGUGCUCGCCCAGCACAUGUGAGGCACUGAGUUCAAACCUCAGCACCA